Molecule: ribosomal RNA, 406 nt
Filed under: uncultured marine eukaryote
Lineage: Eukaryota
Description: partial 18S ribosomal RNA
Rfam family: Eukaryotic small subunit ribosomal RNA
Source: RNAcentral
GGUUAAAAAGCUCGUAGUUGGAUCUCGGCAGGUAGGGGGCGGUUCGUUUCUGACGGCACUGCCCCAUUUAGGUGUGUUUUUGACGGAGGUCUCAAGGUGGCUUUAAACGGCUGUCUUGGUACGCCGUCAGGUUUACUUUGAAAAAAUUAGAGUGCUCAAAGCAGGCUACAAAGCUUGAAUAUUUGUGCAUGGAAUAAUGGAAUAGGAAGCCGUUUCUAUUUUUUUUGGUUUUCGGGAAUUGACUUAAUGAUUAAUAGGGACAGCCGGGGGCAUUAGUACUCAGACGACAGAGGUGAAAUUCUUGGACCGUUUGAGGACUAACUACUGCGAAAGCAUUUGCCAAGAGUGUUUUCAUUAAUCAAGAACGAAAGUUAGAGGUUCGAAGGCGAUCAGAUACCGCCCUAGU